GUAGAUUGCGGAUCCGCGGCCGCAGAGUUUGAUCCUGGCUCAGAACGAACGCUGGCGGCAUGCCUAACACAUGCAAGUCGAACGAAGUCUUCGGACUUAGUGGCGCACGGGUGCGUAACGCGUGGGAAUCUGCCCUUGGGUACGGAAUAACUCAGAGAAAUUUGUGCUAAUACCGUAUAAUGACUUCGGUCCAAAGAUUUAUCGCCCAGGGAUGAGCCCGCGUAAGAUUAGCUAGUUGGUGGGGUAAAAGCCUACCAAGGCGACGAUCUUUAGCUGGUCUGAGAGGAUGAUCAGCCACACUGGGACUGAGACACGGCCCAGACUCCUACGGGAGGCAGCAGUGGGGAAUAUUGGACAAUGGGCGAAAGCCUGAUCCAGCAAUGCCGCGUGAGUGUUGAAGGCCCUAGGGUUGUAAAGCUCUUUUACCCGGGAUGAUAAUGACAGUACCGGGAGAAUAAGCUCCGGCUAACUCCGUGCCAGCAGCCGCGGUAAUACGGAGGGAGCUAGCGUUGUUCGGAAUUACUGGGCGUAAAGCGCGCGUAGGCGGUUUUCCAAGUCAGGGGUGAAAGCCCGGGGCUCAACCCCGGAAUAGCCCUUGAAACUGGAAGACUAGAAUCUUGGAGAGGUCAGUGGAAUUCCGAGUGUAGAGGUGAAAUUCGUAGAUAUUCGGAAGAACACCAGUGGCGAAGCGACUGACUGGACAAGUAUUGACGCUGAGUGCGAAAGCGUGGGGAGCAAACAGGAUUAGAUACCCUGUAGUCCACGCCGUAAACGAUGAUACUAGCUGUCCGGGUUCAUAG
This 800-nucleotide ribosomal RNA is filed under the name uncultured Sphingopyxis sp. RNAcentral's name for it is "bacterial SSU rRNA". It matches the Rfam family "Bacterial small subunit ribosomal RNA", at positions 1 to 835 of the family's 1533-position model. The record is from RNAcentral. Lineage: Bacteria; Pseudomonadati; Pseudomonadota; Alphaproteobacteria; Sphingomonadales; Sphingopyxidaceae.